Molecule: ribosomal RNA, 698 nt
Filed under: uncultured Actinomycetes bacterium
Lineage: Bacteria; Bacillati; Actinomycetota; Actinomycetes
Description: bacterial SSU rRNA
Rfam family: Bacterial small subunit ribosomal RNA
Source: RNAcentral
GCGUAAGAGCUCGUAGGUGGUUCGUCACGUCGGAUGUGAAACUCUGGGGCUUAACCCCAGACCUGCAUUCGAUACGGGCGAGCUUGAGUAUGGUAGGGGAGUCUGGAAUUCCUGGUGUAGCGGUGGAAUGCGCAGAUAUCAGGAGGAACACCAAUGGCGAAGGCAGGACUCUGGGCCAUUACUGACACUGAGGAGCGAAAGCGUGGGGAGCGAACAGGAUUAGAUACCCUGGUAGUCCACGCCGUAAACGGUGGGCACUAGUUGUGGGGACCUUCCACGGUCUCUGCGACGCAGCUAACGCAUUAAGUGCCCCGCCUGGGGAGUACGAUCGCAAGAUUAAAACUCAAAGGAAUUGACGGGGCCCCGCACAAGCAGCGGAGCAUGCGGCUUAAUUCGACGCAACGCGAAGAACCUUACCAAGGCUUGACAUAUACAGGAAUAUGGCAGAGAUGUCAUAGCCGCAAGGUCUGUAUACAGGUGGUGCAUGGUUGUCGUCAGCUCGUGUCGUGAGAUGUUGGGUUAAGUCCCGCAACGAGCGCAACCCUCGUUCUGUGUUGCCAGCAUUUAGUUGGGGACUCACAGGAGACUGCCGGGGUUAACUCGGAGGAAGGUGGGGAUGACGUCAAAUCAUCAUGCCCCUUAUGUCUUGGGCUGCACGCAUGCUACAAUGGCUGGUACAAACGGCUGCAAUACCGCAA